RNAcentral lists this long non-coding RNA (207 nucleotides) under Lathyrus oleraceus (garden pea). RNAcentral describes it as "Pisum sativum (pea) long non-coding RNA (PSAT_LNC036146)". The record is from RNAcentral. Lineage: Eukaryota; Viridiplantae; Streptophyta; Magnoliopsida; Fabales; Fabaceae.
AUCAUAAAACAUCUUCACUUUUCCUCUUUAAAUAACUCUCUCUAAAAAAUCUCAAUGAUACACGUACCUAAAGAAUUGUUGAAAACACCUUUUAUAUGCAUCAGGAGAAACACAAUGAAUUUUCCUAAAAUGCAUUGUGUUUCUGCAUAAAAUAUUGGACGCAAUAUGUAGAGAACACACUCCACUUCUCUCUCGAGGGAGAUUUUU